Molecule: ribosomal RNA, 507 nt
Filed under: uncultured bacterium
Lineage: Bacteria
Description: bacterial SSU rRNA
Rfam family: Bacterial small subunit ribosomal RNA
Source: RNAcentral
CGCUGGCGGCGUGCCUAACACAUGCAAGUCGAACGGGGAUUUGUUUCGGCAGAAUCCUAGUGGCGAACGGGUGAGUAACGCGUAGGCAACCUGCCCUCCGGCCGGGGACAACACUCCGAAAGGGGUGCUAAUACCGGAUACGAAGUCUGUGCCGCAUGGUACGGAUUUGAAAGAUGGCCUCUGUUUACAAGCUAUCGCCGGGGGAUGGGCCUGCGUCCGAUUAGCUGGUUGGUGGGGUAACGGCCUACCAAGGCGACGAUCGGUAGCCGGUCUGAGAGGAUGAACGGCCACAUUGGGACUGAGACACGGCCCAGACUCCUACGGGAGGCAGCAGUGGGGAAUCUUCCGCAAUGGGCGCAAGCCUGACGGAGCAACGCCGCCGUGAGUGAGGAAGUUCUUCGGAACGUAAAGCUCUGUUGUUCCUGACGAACCUCCCCUCUAUCAACAACGGAGGGGACUGACGGUAGGGAACGAGGAAGCCACGGCUAACUACGUGCCAGCCGCCGC